GUGACUGCGGCGUGCUUACCAUGCAAGUCGAACGAUGAACCUCCUUCGGGAGGGGAUUAGUGGCGAACGGGUGAGUAACACGUGGGCAAUCUGCCCUGCACUCUGGGACAAGCCCUGGAAACGGGGUCUAAUACCGGAUACGACACGGGAAGGCAUCUUCUUCGUGUGGAAAGCUCCGGCGGUGCAGGAUGAGCCCGCGGCCUAUCAGCUUGUUGGUGAGGUAACGGCUCACCAAGGCGACGACGGGUAGCCGGCCUGAGAGGGCGACCGGCCACACUGGGACUGAGACACGGCCCAGACUCCUACGGGAGGCAGCAGUGGGGAAUAUUGCACAAUGGGCGAAAGCCUGAUGCAGCGACGCCGCGUGAGGGAUGACGGCCUUCGGGUUGUAAACCUCUUUCAGCAGGGAAGAAGCGAAAGUGACGGUACCUGCAGAAGAAGCGCCGGCUAACUACGUGCCAGCAGCCGCGGUAAUACGUAGGGCGCGAGCGUUGUCCGGAAUUAUUGGGCGUAAAGAGCUCGUAGGCGGCUUGUCGCGUCGGUUGUGAAAGCCCGGGGCUUAACCCCGGGUCUGCAGUCGAUACGGGCAGGCUAGAGUUCGGUAGGGGAGAUCGGAAUUCCUGGUGUAGCGGUGAAAUGCGCAGAUAUCAGGAGGAACACCGGUGGCGAAGGCGGAUCUCUGGGCCGAUACUGACGCUGAGGAGCGAAAGCGUGGGGAGC
Molecule: ribosomal RNA, 720 nt
Filed under: Streptomyces sp. YIM 75701
Lineage: Bacteria; Bacillati; Actinomycetota; Actinomycetes; Kitasatosporales; Streptomycetaceae
Description: bacterial SSU rRNA
Rfam family: Bacterial small subunit ribosomal RNA
Source: RNAcentral